This is a non-coding RNA of Paramuricea clavata, 292 nucleotides long. The record is from the annotation of a GenBank genome assembly. Lineage: Eukaryota; Metazoa; Cnidaria; Anthozoa; Malacalcyonacea; Plexauridae.
CCCCCCUGGUUUUGGCAGUGUUUUAGUUAAAAACAUAAUAUUUUCUCGUAUUUUGCUGGGUAUUUUUACAACUUGGAAGGAAUUAAAGUGCCGUUUUGCUCCGCUUGCUGAUGUAACCAUUUAUUUUACAUAAAGGACGAGUAAUUCUUUUCACAGGUAAGAUUCAUGGGACGGACAGUACGAAAUUAUAAAAAUAUUUUGUCAAAAUUCAACACUCGUUCACUCAACUUCACUGACUUCAUUCUUCAUGUCAAAUGAACGGCAAAUAUUUUAAUAUUGGACGUCAAAGUCA